AGAAAAAGAAAAAGACAAGUUUGUACUACUUGUUCGAGUUUGUCUCGACCCGGAAGAGUGGGCAGGGGGAAAUACAAAAGAGAAGGGGUCAUUCACCUGACCCAGUUCGAAGAAAGAGAACAAUAAGGUGGGCCCCACUCCCUCAGAGUUAAAAGUUUGGGAAUUGUGCCACGUGUUAUGCUAGGUGGCAUUUGAAACCAGAAAACGACACGUGGCCGUCCUGUUUUGCGCAUAACGUUGAAGGUGUGGUGGCACGUGAAGUAGAGGCCCUACGCUCGAAUCUAGCGCACUCUCUUCUCCCUCUGCCAGCUGGGACACUGUCUUCUCUUAUAAUCUCCUCUCUCUCGCGAGUUAACUCACUCCAACAACGUCGGCGAAAUUAUCGUAUCGCGAGAAGUUUCACCUCGACAAUAGUGUUUUACUUUAUUUA
This 430-nucleotide long non-coding RNA is filed under the name Carica papaya (papaya). Its description in RNAcentral is "long non-coding RNA (CPAP_LNC004369)". The record is from RNAcentral. Lineage: Eukaryota; Viridiplantae; Streptophyta; Magnoliopsida; Brassicales; Caricaceae.